This 372-nucleotide unclassified non-coding RNA is filed under the name Hevea brasiliensis (rubber tree). The record is from RNAcentral. Lineage: Eukaryota; Viridiplantae; Streptophyta; Magnoliopsida; Malpighiales; Euphorbiaceae.
AACUUUGCAUUAAAAUGACAUAUCGUAUUUUAAAAAAUAAACUAUAAUAUAGAAUUCAUAUAUAUAUAUUUUAGCCUUUGUCUCAUAAAAUUGGCAGAGUAAGUGUAACAGGCAAACACAUAAAGUGUACCAUCAUAAUGCCAGUAUUGUAUCAUGGAUGGAAUUAAAGGAAGAAAUAUUCAUUAUAUAUAAGUAAAUUACUGAAAACAUAAAAAGAAUAAUUAAUUAUUAUCAAAAUGAUUUUUAAUAACAUUAGAGUUGAAAAAAUUAAAGAAGAAAAAAUGUGGAUCAAUUUAUGUUAGGUGUUCCAAGAUGAUUCAGAUGUUAAGGUUUAGGAUGCAGAGUUUAAGAAUUAUAGAAUUUAACUUUGCG